This 753-nucleotide long non-coding RNA is filed under the name Ursus thibetanus thibetanus. Its description in RNAcentral is "lncRNA (ENSUTTG00000019252.1)". Lineage: Eukaryota; Metazoa; Chordata; Mammalia; Carnivora; Ursidae. The record is from RNAcentral.
UCUGUCAUAUUGAUGGAAUCAUCUCUCAUGCAUUUUAGGUGUCUCUUGUUCCAAUGUGGAUUGUGUAUUACAGAGGAAGAGGCCGGAGGAAAGGAGGCUGAACAAGAAUGAUGCAAGAAUCUAGACGUCAUUUUAAAAAGGUCCAGUUGUCAAGCAUGGAGAUAUCAAGUGUGUGCUAAAUGAAGGCAUGCCAAUUUAUCAUAGACCAUAUGAGAAGGGUCGCCUAAUCAUCGAAUUUAAGGUUUUCCAGAUGUGUAAAAAACAGAAGAAAAACUGAGGUGAAGAAAAUAUAUGAACUUUUGACAUUAUAAAGGUCGACGACAGUACUGAAGCCAUAACUGCAAGUCAGAUCUAUGAAUCCUGGUUCAACAAUCUCUCUCGACAACACAGUAAAGAAGAGCUCCACAAGCCCCCCAGUACAUCUGGCAACAAGAGUGCAAAUAAUCCAAUAAAAGUCUUAAGACUUUCAGUUGCCCUCUCAAAUUCCUCUGAGGCCACCAUAAUUCUCAAGUCACUUUAAUUUUUUUCUCUCAUCUCCCUUGUACACCCUUAAAAUGUACAGCUGCAUUUUUCUCUGCCAGGAUAGAACUUAGAAAUUCCCAAGAUUUAACGGUGAUGUAUUCAACCCAGGACUUGCACCUGAGCACCAGGAACCAUGGCUUCGUCUUUCAGUGAGACAGCAGGGACUUCCUUUCAUCUCACUCUCCUUGUCCAAAAGCCUUGAAACUGGAGAUAAGAAUAAAAGGACUGACG